GACGAACGCUGGCGGCGUGCUUAACACAUGCAAGUCGAACGGAAAGGCCCUGCUUGUAGGGUACUCGAGUGGCGAACGGGUGAGUAACACGCGGGUGAUCUGCCCUGCACUUCGGGAUAAGCCUGGGAAACUGGGUGUAAUACAGGAUAGGAGCCAUUUUUAGUGUGAUGGUUGGAAAGUUUUUUCGGUGUAGGAUGAGAUCGCGGGCUAUCAGCUUGUUGGUGGGGUAAUGGCCUACCAAGGCGGCGACGGGUAGCCCGCCUGUGGGGGUGGACGGCCACAUUGGGACCUAGGUGCGGCCCAGGUACCUACGGGAGGCAGCAGUGGGGAAGCUUGCCCAAGGGGCGCAAGGCGGGUGCAGCGACGCCUCGGGGGGGAUGACUGCCUUCGGGUUGUAAACUCCUUGCGCUAGGGACGAAGCUUUUUGUGACGGUACCUAGAUAAGAAGCACCGGCUAACUACGUG
This 465-nucleotide ribosomal RNA is filed under the name uncultured bacterium. RNAcentral describes it as "partial 16S ribosomal RNA". It matches the Rfam family "Bacterial small subunit ribosomal RNA", at positions 28 to 507 of the family's 1533-position model. The record is from RNAcentral.